UCUGGCAGUGAUGACACUCUUGCCCUCACUGACACACUGAGGUGUGGUGAUGAGAGCCAGCUCUGUGCUGAGCCCUGAGCCAGA
This is a small nucleolar RNA of Ornithorhynchus anatinus (platypus), 84 nucleotides long. RefSeq annotates it as small nucleolar RNA SNORD103/SNORD85. The transcript has a single exon. The record is from RefSeq and is a predicted model, not a curated record. NCBI's taxonomy places the organism in Eukaryota, Metazoa, Chordata, Mammalia, Monotremata, Ornithorhynchidae.